This 1738-nucleotide long non-coding RNA is filed under the name Homo sapiens (human). RNAcentral's name for it is "HSALNT0032871". Lineage: Eukaryota; Metazoa; Chordata; Mammalia; Primates; Hominidae. The record is from RNAcentral.
GUAGGGCCGGCAGUGUAGAUUUCCCCAGGGGCGGGGGUGGGAUCUGAGCAAUCACUCGCCCUCCCCCCUCCCAGGGGCGGGGAGGGGGUGAUUUAGGGAGGACUCCACGGGGCCCAAAGGUUCGCACCGCCCCGCCGCGGCCCAGCCUGCAGAAGCCCCCCGCUGCCGCGGCGCCCCCGCUCCCCGCCCCGCGAGGCGCGCGCAGCUGCGCCCGGGCCUGUCCUCGCUUCACCCCCACUCUGCCCCUUCGGUAUUUCUCAAUGACCGGCGCUCCGAGGACACUUCCGACGCGGAGGGAGGGGGUGUCAUUAGCGCUCGGUUAUCAGUUCCUUCCGGUCUCCCCGAGCUCAACCCUGCGCGCGGCCGGGCCGCGCCUCGGGCGAUCUGGUGCCUUUAUUAUGAUGUUUAAGUAAGCAGUCGUGUGUGCCAAGUGAGUUUGUAGCCCAGCUGUCUCCCCCAAGCCCCGCUGGCAGGAAUGGAAACCCAAGCUCUCUCGUAAUGCAGGGGAUGAUGCAAACUUAGAAACUGACCCGGCGCCCGGGAAUGAGGCCCCCCCGCCCCGGGCGUGCGGCGGCCCAGUCGGGGCAUGAAUGGCUGGAGCCCGAUUGCAUAAUCCGCGCGGUAUAAAUAGCCGGCGGGCGGGCCGCUGACGCGCUCGGUUGUGCCGUUAUCGUGCAAUGCUUCAUCCCCGGUGCCGUUCAAUCCCAGGUCGUUUUCCCUUUCAGCUGCAAUGCCGGGAUUUUAAAUAGCAGAGAUGAAAGGCCCCUGCCCCCGCCUCCCUCCUCCCCUGAGUUCAUGUAUUAUGAAUGAAACGGCAGCCUCGCUGCUUCCUGAGGUGCUCCACUUCAGGUUGGAGUGCAGUGGUGCUGUGUCUGGAGUUUGUUCCUGCCGUUGGGUUUGUGGUCUUGCUGACUUCAAGAAUGAAGCCACGGACCUUCACGAGAAAUAUUACGUUGUAUGGAUGUACCACUGUUUGUUUAUCCAUUCUUCAGGUGAAGGACAUGUGGGUUGUGCCCAGCGCGGGCUGAAUAAAGUCCAUCGCCUUGGCUUAGUGCAUGUCACCAAAAAUUCUCCAGGAAUUUCAUAGUUUGGACCUUGGUGGCAUGGCUGGCCCUGGAUUAUCCAUGCAGGGAGGCCUGAUCCUGUGACAGCUGGCUGCAGCAGGGGGCUGCCCAUCUUCUGUGCUUUGUGGUACAUAUCUGUGUCACCAAAGUAGCGGCCUCGGUACAGCAAGCCUUUCAUCUGCUGCUUCUCCGUCCAGCAGUUGUUCCAGAGGUUGGCGAUAUAAUCAUCUUUCACAUUCGGUUUGACUGUUUGGAGGCUGGAGCCUGUGUACUCCUCGGAGAAAAUGCCUGCCACAUAGUAGAUGACACUCAGGUGGUCAGUGACUCGCCUGUGAUGUGGCCCACAAACAGUCUUGGGCUCAGACUGUAGGGUGGACUGGAGACCAUGAGCUGGCUGAGAGCUGACAUGAGGAUGAGGAUGGGUAUCAGCUGCACGAACACCCGCAAGCUGCCGUCACUCCGCUUCUCCCUGCAGCCCUGCCUUUGCUGUCCUCCAGGCUUUUAGGCUCUGGUGUGCAACCCCUGCUGUGGUCAUUUGAGAGGAGAUAAAAGGAAUCUUCUGAGAGCCAGAAGUUCUGUCUUCAGCACCAGCUGGGAGACCCUCUGUCAAGAUGAGGGUUCUAUUGAUCCAUGCAACUGCCGCCAACCAGAAUUUUAGGGUUUUGCCCCAAUAG